Long non-coding RNA from Helianthus annuus (common sunflower), 3161 nucleotides. RefSeq lists it as uncharacterized. The transcript is spliced from 7 exons. The record is from RefSeq and is a predicted model, not a curated record. Lineage: Eukaryota; Viridiplantae; Streptophyta; Magnoliopsida; Asterales; Asteraceae.
AACCCAUUUCAAUCUCUCUCUCUCUCUCUCUACUCUCUCUCCAUUCUUCACUUUCAACAGCAUCAAACAAGAAAUCCGAGCUGUACCGUCUUCUUUUUGUCAAUCGAUCGUCUUCAACAGCAUCCAAUGGCAUAGAAAGGAAGCUGAUGUGUCCAUUGAAUUGAUUUCGUUUAUCUGUUGUUAACCCCUGUUCUGGCAAGCUUCUUCUUCUUCUUUGAACUCUGCCCAUGUUUUCUUAUUUUUGACUUCUGAUUCACUCGCAGUAAAGGAUGAAUCAUGCCAAUCAAAACCAAUAAGUGAACUUACACUAGAGAGAUAGGGUUUAUAAAGUUUUUUGCUGUUUAUGAUAGAAAUCCUAUGAGAUUGGAUAAUCUGCUUCUCCUUGGUGCGAUAUAUUAUCAGGUGUUUGCUUAAAUGCCCCCCUUUGCUUAAAUGAUACCGAGUUCACCAUCUCAUACUCUGAGAUCUGUUGAGAAGUCAGUAAGAGAUAUUCGACAUGUAGAAGGAGAUCUGUUGAGAAGUCAGUAAGAGAUAUUCGAUAAUGCAGAAGUUGUGAGGGUUGAUGCUGACAACAUUAAAGAAAGUUUGGAUAAGAGCUUAAAGCAUCUGAAUAUUGAUUACAUCGAUUUAACUACAGUUCAUUGGUGAGUUUUAAAUCCUUGAAAUUUAAUCCCUUAACCAUAUAACAACCAUCUAUUAUGAGUUUUAAAUCUGUCUGUCAUAAAGAAAUCGCCUUCGACUUCUCCCUUCCAGAUUGAGACUGCGCUUAGGCUUUGGAAUUGGAUAUGACAGCCCAUUGAGCCCGUAUAUUAAUUUUGGUAUUGUUUAUGGUUUCUUGAAUCCGGUUAUACAUUUUUUACUAUUUCUUUUAAAAUUAUGUAGAUCAAUUUAAUCAUAAUAAUUUAGUAAAAGUAUGUAGAUCAAUUUAAUCAUAAUAAUUUCAACCUGUUGAGUCUUGGAGAUACACUCAAUGUAAACUGCUGCACCUAUAGUCUUCUUCAGUUCUUCACCCUGCAUAAAUUUGUUUUUUCAACCAUUAUUAGCUGAACGAUUCUUGAAACAUUUAAACAUGGUAUAAUUUGUACGUGUUAUAUUCAAAAAUCAUCUUUACUAUUUCCAAAUAUUUAGUACAAACCAACGAUUCAAACAAAAAAAGGUGGGUCAAGCCGCUAAAACUGACGGUUCUGGCUGACCCACCCAACCUGGUUAGUUUCGAUGUCGUUUUCAAAAACUAUAGGUAGCAGUUUGUCUUAUACAUCAUAUUUUAUGCAAAUUCUACGAGAAUGUGUUGUGGAUUUUAAAAACCAAAGGGGUGAAGUGCAUUUCUUAACGACUUAGCUGAGAAAUUGUGAUCGGUCUAACAUUUCGAUGAUCACUCAGGUAUUGUUUGUCUUCGUGUAGAUCUAAGAGAUUUCAAAAGCAAAACAAAUGGUUAUUUGUAAUAUAACUUACAUCCAAACAACUUAAUAACAUCAUAUACCGGACAUGUACAAACUAAACUUUAAGACUAAAAUUAUAUUCCAAGGGAUGUUAAACAAGUUGUUUGCACGUUGAGAAAUAAAACACGAUUUCUUUUUACAUAUUAAUACUUCAUUUAAAAAAUGAGAAGAAAGCGAGUAAAUGUAUGAAUAAGAGUUAAUCUACCAUGAGGUGAGGUAAUCAUUUUUUUCCUUGUAUUUCAAAGACAAAAAAUGGUUAGGAAUCAAAUUGUAUUUUAUGUUUGUAUGAAAUUGUUGAAAGAAAUGAUGUUACCUAAUUUGGUCCAACCGGCACAAUGGGAUAGUUGCGGCAUAGUGCGGUAGCUCUGAGAUCCACUGAAUGAAUGAAUGAAUGAGAAGAAUGUUUUCAUAGAUGGGUCUGCUAAUGAGAGAAAAAAGCCAUUAUAAAGACAUUUGCACCUCUGUAACUGAGUGGCCUGAGUCUGUUAUAAUCCUCCUGACCUGCAGUAUCCCAAAGGCCGAGACCGGGCACUGAAAUUAUCAAAGACUGUGAGCACAUAAUUCUACACACAAAAGAAAACAAUUUGCCUGUACAACAAAGUCAUAGAAGACAAUUUGCUUGGAGGACCACUUCCUCGAAAUCUUGGCCGUUUGUCCCACAUGAGAAGAUUCCUUGCUUCUGCAAAUAACUUUACAGGAACCAUACAAGAAUCGUAUGGCAGACUGAACUAUUUAGAAGGCUUAUUGCAAAGCUACAGGAUGACAAAAAAGUGUUAAGACUGUUUGACCAAGUCAAAAGAGGCUGUUUUACUUGAAGCCGAGAGGACCAUGCAACUUACAUUGGUCAAGGCAUCCAUGGUAGAUGAUCUCUAGAAUAAGAAUCAGGAAUUGAUGAAGCAAAUAGAAUUUUGCCAGGAGGAAAAUCAAAUAUUGGAUAAAAUGCAUCAUCAAAAAGUUGAUGAGGUGGAAAAGCUUACACAAACUGUACACGAGCUUGAAGAAGCUGUUCUUGCUGGUGGCGCAGCUGCAAACGCGUUCGGGACUAUCAACAGAAAGUUCAAGAAAUGAAUGUAAAAUAGAUACUUCUAUUCUUUAGUUGAUUAAAGUUUCUUCAUGUUCCUGCUGGUGGAAAAUUUCACCCGUUUACUUAUAAAUGGGUCGAGUGGGAUAUGCUUUGGUCAAACGUUAUAACUAACUGAUUUGGUGUCAGUUAUCAGUAGGAGGAAAAAAGACUCUAGACAGAGAGCUAGCGCAUGCAAAAGUUACAGCCAAUAGAGUGGCAACAGUUGUAGCUAACGAUUGGAAAGAUUCUAAUGAUAAGAUGAUGCCAGUUAAACAAUGGCUCAAAGAAAGACGGUUCUUGCAGGUAUAGUCUUCUAUAAUUCCAUAAACGUAUUGUUUAUAGUAAGGUAUACGGAUGGACCCUGUGCUUUCCAAAGGUACACAGAUGGUCCCCGACGGUUUCCAAAAGUACAAGGAUGGUCCCUUAGAUUUACACUUUGUACGAAAUGCAAGCUACAACACAGGAGGCACUGAACAUAAUGGAGGAAAAGCUUCGAAGAUUGAGGAUGAGACAAGCAAAUGUAGAGUCCAUGAUCCAAAACCAGAAUCCACUUCAGAAACUUCUUUGUCUGUAUCGAAUUCUGGUUUGAUUCGAAAAUUCUUAGAUCUGUAUUUCGAAUUCUUAGAUUUGUUUUUUGAAUGUUUUUUGGUUUAUACUAA